GUUUAUGGCGGCUGUACGCGGGAGACCUUCGGGUCUGCCGGGUUCCCAAAUUUACCGGUUCGCUAACCCGUGUACAGCUGCCACCUCU
This is a non-coding RNA of Pseudomonas fluorescens, 88 nucleotides long. The record is from Rfam. Lineage: Bacteria; Pseudomonadati; Pseudomonadota; Gammaproteobacteria; Pseudomonadales; Pseudomonadaceae.